AGCCAACCUCUAGCCCCACCCAACCAAUCAAAAACACACUUUUUUCCAAACAACCAAAACAUUCUCCUCAACCCAGUAUAGGCGAUAGAAAAGAACCCCCCCAGAGCGCGAUAGAGACCAUGUACCGUAAGGGAAAGAUGAAAUAACAGUGAAACCUAAAGCAACAAACAGCAAAGACGAACCCUUGUACCUUUUGCAUCAUGAUUUAGCAAGAACAACCAAGCAAAAUGAACUUAAGCUUGCCCCCCCGAAACCCGAGCGAGCUACUUGCAAGCAGCUACACAUCUGAGCGAACCCAUCUCUGUUGCAAAAGAGUGGGAUGACUUGCUAGUAGAGGUGAAAAGCCUACCGAGCCGAGUGAUAGCUGGUUGCCUGUGAGACGAACCUAAGUUCCCCCUUAGCCCUCCUCCCCAGCUGAACACACAACCUAGCACGAGAAGACUAAGAGUGCUUUAAAGGAGGUACAGCCCCUUUAAAAUAGGACACAACCUCCGCCAGAGGAUAACAACCCAGACACCAUAAACAGUGGGCCUUCAAGCAGCCACCAACAAAGAAUGCGUCAAAGCUCAACACCCCCAAAAAAUCUAACAAACAACACGAUUCCCUCCCCACUAACAGGCUAAUCUAUAGACAUAGAAGAAUUAAUGCUAGAAUGAGUAACUUGGGCCCUCCCCUCUAAAGCGCAAGCUUACAUCACCUCAUUAUUAACAGGCAGCCAUAUAUGCCAAACCCCUAGCAAGAAUGAAGUAUUAACCAACCCUGUUAACCCAACCCAGGAGCGCCUGCUAGAAAGAUUUAAAUCUGUAAAAGGAACUAGGCAAACCCAAGGCCCGACUGUUUACCAAAAACAUAGCCUUCAGCACAUCAAGUAUUGAAGGUGACGCCUGCCCAGUGACACCACGUUUAACGGCCGCGGUAUCCUAACCGUGCAAAGGUAGCGCAAUCAAUUGUCCCAUAAAUCGAGACCUGUAUGAAUGGCCAAACGAGGUCUUAACUGUCUCUUACAGAUAAUCAGUGAAAUUGAUCCCCCUGUGCAAAAGCAGGGAUACACCCAUAAGACGAGAAGACCCUGUGGAACUUGAAAAUCAGCGACCACCCCCCACAACCCCCGCUCCCUCAAGGGACCCCUCACCACACCACAUUGGCCGCCAUUUUUCGGUUGGGGCGACCUUGGAGAAAAACGAAUCCUCCAAAACAAAGACCACACCUCUUAACCAAGAACACCACCUCAACGUGCUAAUAGCAACCAGAUCCAGUAGUAACUGAGCAAUGAACCAAGCUACCCCAGGGAUAACAGCGCAAUCCCCUCCAAGAGCCCCUAUCGACGAGGGGGUUUACGACCUCGAUGUUGGAUCAGGACAUCCUAAUGGUGCAGCCGCUAUUAAGGGUUCGUUUGUUCAACGAUUAACAGUCCUACGUGAUCUGAGUUCAGACCGGAGCAAUCCAGGUCGGUUUCUAUCUAUGAUGAACCCUUCCUAGUACGAAAGGACCGGAAGAGUAGGGCCCAUACCGUACAGUACGCCCUCAAAAAAAUAAUGAAUACAACUCAAUUACCAGCACCCCCCCCUUCACCCUAGACAAGGGCA
This 1586-nucleotide ribosomal RNA is filed under the name Bubo blakistoni (Blakiston's fish-owl). Its description in RNAcentral is "16S ribosomal RNA". It matches the Rfam family "Bacterial large subunit ribosomal RNA", at positions 252 to 2836 of the family's 2925-position model. Lineage: Eukaryota; Metazoa; Chordata; Aves; Strigiformes; Strigidae. The record is from RNAcentral.